CUAUACUUCACGAGGUUGAGUCUGCUAGAACUUGUAUGGAUCAAAAGUGAAUGAGGAUCCACAAUAAUUCAUAGAUGACAUGCUAAAGAUUACCUAUGUUAUGAACACUACUAGAAAGAAAGUGUGGACUUUGCAUCAUAUCAACUGACAGGUGUUUCUCAUGAUUGAUAUAAAUUAUGAAAUAAAGGUAGAGGUGGAGAUGCAACUAGUAUGUUGGGAAGAGUUCAAAUAAAUAUUUUUUCAUAGAUUC
RNAcentral lists this long non-coding RNA (250 nucleotides) under Capsicum annuum. Its description in RNAcentral is "long non-coding RNA (CANN_LNC002502)". The record is from RNAcentral. Lineage: Eukaryota; Viridiplantae; Streptophyta; Magnoliopsida; Solanales; Solanaceae.